RNAcentral lists this long non-coding RNA (224 nucleotides) under Lathyrus oleraceus (garden pea). RNAcentral describes it as "Pisum sativum (pea) long non-coding RNA (PSAT_LNC014643)". The record is from RNAcentral. Lineage: Eukaryota; Viridiplantae; Streptophyta; Magnoliopsida; Fabales; Fabaceae.
AAAACACUUAAUAAAAAAACAAAAACAUUAAAAAAUACAUUGGUAGACUGUUGGAUCUUUGUCUGUGACUUGAUUUGGACCUAUGGACUUAGAGUAUGCAACAUUCCUGAGCUAUGGAAGAAAAACUUGGCCAAUGCCAUUAAUUUGAGACCAAAAACAUGGCCAAUGUCAUUCAUCUGACACAAGCUUGAGAGACUCCCUUGGAUUUAUCUGAUACACUCUUU